AUGCGGCGUCGGCGGUACGAGAAGAAUAUCGGUUGCAGCCAAUUCGAUGACCUGAUCAAAACGAAAAUACAUCUGGUUGUCAAAAGGCAAACUAUUCCUGAUAUAGGCAAUGAUGAUGAAGUGCCAGUAUCAGGAAGAAAGCGACAUGUACAACAGAGAUUAGGAAAUAAUGUGGUUGUUUCUGAUUCGUAUAGGAGUCAACAUAGUAAUAAAAGGUUUAUAGUUGAAUUAUCUUCAUACAUAUGGCAGGUGCAGGAGGUGCCAUGCAAGCAAGCAGGGCGACCAGGAUCAUGCUGCAGGGGCUGGGUAUAUUUCCAGAGAAUGUCAUCAAGGCGGGAUUUUUUCUUCUAA
Molecule: ribosomal RNA, 351 nt
Filed under: Triticum aestivum (bread wheat)
Lineage: Eukaryota; Viridiplantae; Streptophyta; Magnoliopsida; Poales; Poaceae
Description: partial small subunit ribosomal RNA
Source: RNAcentral